RNAcentral lists this ribosomal RNA (391 nucleotides) under uncultured bacterium. RNAcentral's name for it is "bacterial SSU rRNA". It matches the Rfam family "Bacterial small subunit ribosomal RNA", at positions 28 to 417 of the family's 1533-position model. The record is from RNAcentral.
GACGAACGCUGGCGGCGUGCUUAACACAUGCAAGUCGAGCGGUAAGGCCCUUUCGGGGGUACGACGAGCGGCGAACGGGUGAGUAACACGUGGGUGACCUGCCCUUAGCUCUGGGAUAAGCCUGGGAAACUGGGUCUAAUACCGGAUAUGACCUCAUGACUCAUGUUGUGGGGUGGAAAGCCUUGUGCGGCUAGGGAUGGGCCCGCGGCCUAUCAGCUUGUUGGUGGGGGUAAUUGCCUACCAAGGCGACGACGGGGUAGCCGGCCUGAGAGGGCGACCGGCCACACUGGGACUGAGACACGGCCCAGACUCCUACGGGAGGCAGCAGUGGGGAAUCUUGCGCAAUGGGCGAAAGCCUGACGUAGCGACGCCGCGUGAGGGAUGACGGCCU